CGAGCCGGGCGGACGGCCGCGUGGGGAUCGAAGGAUCCCCCCGAGGAACGUCCGGGCUCCACAGGGCAGGGUGGUGGGUAACGCCCACCCGGGGUGACCCGCGGGACAGUGCCACAGAAAGCAGACCGCCGGGGGCCUCGGCCCUCGGUAAGGGUGAAACGGUGGUGUAAGAGACCACCAGCGCCUGGGGUGACCCAGGCGGCUCGGUAAACCCCACCCGGAGCAAGGUCAAGAGGGGCCGUCGCGAGACGGCCCUGCGCGGACGUUCGAGGGCUGCCCGCCCGAGUCCGCGGGUAGACCGCACGAGGCCGGCGGCAACGCCGGUCCUAGAUGGAUGGCCGUCACCCCGACGACCGCGAGGUCCCGGGGCACAGAACCCGGCGUACAUGCCCGACUCGUCUG
This 402-nucleotide RNase P RNA is filed under the name Streptomyces tamarix. Its description in RNAcentral is "RNase P RNA component class A". It matches the Rfam family "Bacterial RNase P class A". Rfam says of the family: Ribonuclease P (RNase P) is a ubiquitous endoribonuclease, found in archaea, bacteria and eukarya as well as chloroplasts and mitochondria. Its best characterised activity is the generation of mature 5'-ends of tRNAs by cleaving the 5'-leader elements of precursor-tRNAs. RNAcentral also lists the same sequence under 1 other name. Lineage: Bacteria; Bacillati; Actinomycetota; Actinomycetes; Kitasatosporales; Streptomycetaceae. The record is from RNAcentral.